This 301-nucleotide ribosomal RNA is filed under the name uncultured bacterium. RNAcentral's name for it is "partial 16S ribosomal RNA". It matches the Rfam family "Bacterial small subunit ribosomal RNA", at positions 509 to 807 of the family's 1533-position model. The record is from RNAcentral.
CAGUCGCCACGGUAAUACAGAGGAUGCAAGCGUUAUCCGGAAUGAUUGGGCGUAAAGGGCUCGCAGGCGGUUUCUUAAGUCUGAUGUGAAAGCCCCCGGCUCAACCGGGGAGGGUCAUUGGAAACUGGGAAGCUUGAGUGCAGAAGAGGAGAGUGGAUUUCCACGCGUAGCGGUGAGAUGCGUAGAGAUGUGGAGGAACACCAGUGGCGAAGGCGACUCUCUGGUCUGUAACUGACGCUGAGGAGCGCAAGCGUGGGGAGCGAACAGGAUUAGAUACCCCAGUAGUCCCUGUCUCUUAUAC